UCUUGAGCAGAUGACUUUUGAACUGAUCAGAAAUUAGGGGCUUCGUGAAUAUGUCCGCAAGUUGGCUUCUUGAUGAGAUGUGCAAGGUAGAAAUAAACCCCUUUGAAACUUGAUCUCUUACCACGUGACAAUCGAUCUCGAGGUGUUUUGUUCGUUAGUGGAAUACUAGGUUUGCAGCUAUAUGUUCCGUAGCCUGGUUAUCACAGUGUAGUGGUAUCGGAAGUUAAGGUUGAAGGUGAAAUUCUUUCAAAAAUAAGAGAUGGCUCUAAAAAAAAACACAAAAACAUGUGAUAGAUCUUCGAGAUACUGGGCAAGAUGCCCAAUCGGCAUCACAAAAGUCAUGCAUGCAUAGAUCACUUUUUGAUGGGAAGAAUAGGCUCUUGGACGGAUAGCUUCUUAAGUACCGAAGGACAUGCAGUGCAACGUUCUAGUGGGGUUUUCGUUGAGCUUAUAGAAAUUGGCUUAAUUAUUGGGUCACAUAGGAUAUAUCUGGAUAAGUAAUACCUAGAUAUAAUAAUCUUCCUAUGAGUCUUCGGUAAUGCUCUACAUUUUGCAGUGGUUCUUCAAAUUCAUUGUCUAAUUUUAGUCCUUUGGGCAGAGGGUAGGAGAUAGGUUUUGCAUCACUCAUUCCUGCAUCUGUAAGUAUGUCAAGUAUGUACUUAUCUGCUUGAGCAAUAUUCCUUUGUCUGAUCUUGC
Manihot esculenta (cassava) is the source of this 696-nucleotide long non-coding RNA. RefSeq lists it as uncharacterized. The record is from RefSeq and is a predicted model, not a curated record. The transcript has 2 exons. Lineage: Eukaryota; Viridiplantae; Streptophyta; Magnoliopsida; Malpighiales; Euphorbiaceae.